RNAcentral lists this ribosomal RNA (501 nucleotides) under uncultured bacterium. RNAcentral describes it as "partial 16S ribosomal RNA". It matches the Rfam family "Bacterial small subunit ribosomal RNA", at positions 30 to 523 of the family's 1533-position model. The record is from RNAcentral.
AUUGAACGCUGGCGGCAGGCUUAACACAUGCAAGUCGAGCGGAGAUGAGGUGCUUGCACCUUAUCUUAGCGGCGGACGGGUGAGUAAUGCUUAGGAAUCUGCCUAUUAGUGGGGGACAACAUUCCGAAAGGAAUGCUAAUACCGCAUACGUCCUACGGGAGAAAGCAGGGGAUCUUCGGACCUUGCGCUAAUAGAUGAGCCUAAGUCGGAUUAGCUAGUUGGUGGGGUAAAGGCCUACCAAGGCGACGAUCUGUAGAGGGUCUGAGAGGAUGAUCCGCCACACUGGGACUGAGACACGGCCCAGACUCCUACGGGAGGCAGCAGUGGGGAAUAUUGGAGAAUGGGGGGAACCCUGAUCCAGCCAUGCCGCGUGUGUGAAGAAGGCCUUAUGGUUGUAAAGCACUUUAAGCGAGGAGGAGGCUACUGAGACUAAUACUCUUGGAUAGUGGACGUUACUCGCAGAAUAAGCACCGGCUAACUCUGUGCCAGCCGCCGCGGUAA